This 6433-nucleotide long non-coding RNA is filed under the name Homo sapiens (human). RNAcentral's name for it is "HSALNT0280542". The record is from RNAcentral. Lineage: Eukaryota; Metazoa; Chordata; Mammalia; Primates; Hominidae.
GUGCAGACGGGCUGAGUCCGAAAGGAGUCAGCGAAGGGAGAUAGGGGUGGGGCCGUUUUAUAGGAUUUGGGUAGGUAGUGGAAAAUUACAGUCAAAGGGGGUUGCUCUCUGGCGGGCAGGGGCAGGGGUCACAAGGUGCUCAGUGGGGGAGCUUCUGAGCCAGGAGAAGGAAUUUCACAAGGUAAUGUCAUCAGUUAAGGCAGGAAUCGGCCAUUUUCACUUCUUUUGUGAUUUCUUCAGUUACUUCAGGCCAUCUGGAUGUAUACGUGCAGGCUUGGGCUCAGAGACCUGACAAUUAAGUUUCGGUUUGCUUAGGGAAAAAACUGAGAUUAAACUUUUUUUAAAUUAAGGUUAUUACAUCUGUAUAUCUAGAAAGAUGUAUGUGCUUCUUAAAGUAUUUGUGACAUUGAGUUACAGGGCUUUGACUCCUGGGUCUAAAAAGGAUACCAAGUCCUGCUAAAUCUUAAACACUGACAGCAAUUAUAGCUUCAUCCUCAGGCGUGGUAGAAGAUGUCAAUCAAAAUAAACUGCAUUCCUGAGACACAGGGCCAGAAAUUAAAGCUAUUCAACUCCUCAAGGCCCAGGGACUAUCGUGGAAGACGUGGACAUGUGAGAUUGUAAGGGCUGAUUUUGAGAGAUAAAAUAAGUUCAGUUUCUCUAUAAAUUAAUCAUUAAUGUCAAAGACACACUGAUGCAAGACCAGCAUAUGUGCCCCUAUGUCAAAUUAACAAGGUUUUCUUGAAGCAUUAACCGACUGCUUAAUAAUAAUAAAGGUUAUAAAGGUUAUAAAAGGCUUAUGGAAGUCAUAUCUUACGGUCAAGAUUAAAAAUCUUAUACAUUGUUUAUAAAAUUUUGAAAAACAAAUUUAAUUGGCUUUAUGAUGUUUCUAUUAGGGCUUAUUGUUUGCAAAAUUAAGUCUCCUCUCAAAGAAUGAAGGUUUUCUCCUUUUUUUGAAGUCCUUGAGUUAUCACUUUGGUCAAAGGAAUGACUUAUUUUACAAUGACCUGUGACAUCACGUGUUUUAAAUCUUUGAUAUUUGACAAACUUUCCAAAAUCAAAUUGUAAAUUAUGUCUUUCUCUGACCUAAUUAAUCCUUUAAGAUAUUAGGCUCCCUAAAGUCCAAAAUAACAUAAUUUGGCUUAUUUGGUAUAAAAAUUAUACAGGAAACAUUGUCAAAUAUGAACUGGUGUUUGGGUUUUUUUGGGCUGUAUUUGUAUAAAUAUGGAUAUAUGGGACUAUAAUUCUAAUAUGCUUAGUGUACAUUAUCAGUAAUAAUUAUAACUGUUAUGUUAAGUUAUUGUGUGCCACAGAGGUAAUGAAUUUCCUUGUCAGUUGUGUCCUUGACUAUGGCUGCCCCUAAACUUUUUGUCAUCCAUAGACAAUUGUUGUCUUGUUUUGGUCCUCUUUAGAAGGUGGUUUUAUAAUCAUCUAUAAAACUCUUAACAGGUGCUCUUGAGUACAAGUUUCUGAUAACUUUGGAGAUUGUGACAUCAGAAUAGAGGAAAAACUUUUAGGACUCAUGGAGAAGUGAAAUGUUCAUGAACAUCAGGCAGAACAGGAAUUAACUGCAUGGACAGAACUAAUACAAAACUGAGGACAUGAGACUUCACAACCUGCUAAAAAUGAACUUUCCUAAUAACUGGGGACCUACCCGUCUAGGAAUAAACCAUCCUAGCCAUGACAGAUCAGAUGAAACCUGAGACCAGAGACUCAUUUUCUCCUAAAAUGCUUUCUCCAAAAGAUUUUUAAAAAGAAAAGGGGGAAAAUAUGAAUGGAAAAUAAAUCUUGGGGCCCCAACAUCACUAAGCUAAAGGGAAAAGUCAAGCUGGGAACUGCUUAGGGCCAACCUGCCUCCCAUUCUAUUCAAAGUCACCUCUCUGCUCACUGAGAUAAGUGUAUAUCUGACUGCCUCAUUUGGAGAGGCUAAUCAGAAACUCAAAAGAAUGCAACCAUUUGUCUCUUAUCUACCUAUGACCUGGAAACCCCCUCCGCACUUUGAGUUGUCCCACCUGUGAAAGGAAAAUAAAUCUUGGGGCCCCCAAAUCACUAAGCUAAAGGGAAAAGUCAAGCUGAGAACUGCUUAGGGCCAACCAUCCUCUCAUUCUAUUCACAGUCACCCCUCUGCUCACUGAGAUAGAUGCUAUCUGAUUGCCUCCUUUGGAAAGGCUAAGCAGAAACUCAAAAGAAUGCAACUUUCCAUCUCUCACCUAUCUGUGACCUGGAAGCCCAGUCCCUGCUUUGAGUCUUCCUGCCUUUGCUUCAAGCUGUCCCGCCUUUCCAGACCAAACCAAUGUACUUCUUACAUAUAUUGAUGUCUCAUGUCUCAUGUCUCCCUAAAAUGUAUAAAACUAAACUGUGCCCCUACCACCUUGGGCACAUGUCGUCAGGACUUCCUGAGGCUGUGUCAUGGGCACAUCCUCUACCCUGGCAAAAUAAACUUUCUAAAUUAACUGGGACCUACCUCAAAUUAUCUGGGUUCACACGCCUUUGCCUCGAGUUGUCCCACCUUUCCGGACUGAACCAAUGUACAUCUUAACACAUACUGAUUGAUGUCUAAUGUCUCUCUAAAAUGUAUAAAACCAAGCUGUGCUCUGACCACCUUAGGCACUUGUCAUCAGGAUCUCCUGAGGCCAUAUUAUGGGUGCACGUCCUCAACCUUGGCAAAAUAAGCUUUCUAAAUUAACUGAGACGUGUCUCAGAUUUUCGGGAUUCACAAUCUCCACUCUUCACCAAACCUACAAUAAAAAACCCUCAGCUUCUCAGCUUUAACUGUUUCUUCGGGUCUUCAUUUUCUUAUGAAGGUUCAUGUGUCACAUAAAACUUUAAAAAAUUUGUACACUUUUCUCUCAUUAAUCUGUCUUCUGUUAUAGGGCCUCAGCCAUGAACUUGGAAUGGGUAGAUUAAAAAAAAUAUUUUUCCUCCCCUACACAUUUUUUUUUUUUUUUUUGAGACGGAGUCUCAGUCUGUUGACCAGGCUCAAGUGCAAUGGCGUGGUCUUGGCUCACUGCAACCUCUGCCUCCCAGUUUAAGCAAUUAUCCUGCCUCAGCCUCCUGACUAGCUGGGACUACAGGCGCGUGCCACCACACCUGGCUAAUUUUUUUGUAUUUUUAGUAGAGAUCGGGUUUCAUCAUGUUGGCCAGGCUGGUCUUGAACUCCUGACCUCAUGAUCCGCCCGCCUCGGCCUCGCAAAGUGCUGAGAUUACAGGCGUGAGCCACCACACCUGGCCCUCCCCUACACAUUUCUAAGUAUCUUACCUGAUUUUCUAUGGCACCUUUGGGUUGCAGAACCUUAGCUGUAGGAGAAAUGGUGGUGACGGCCAAUGUCUGGCACUGACUUUAACAGAGUACAGAUGUGUAUGUAAAUAGUACUUAUUUUAACAAAAUAGAAAGUUCAAGAAAGAAAUACAGCAACAAAAGUGACAAUUAGAUUGGAAGAGACCCAUUCUUGUUUGCUUGUUUUCUCCAUAAGCCAUCUAGCUUUUUUUUUUUUUUUUGUGAGACGGUCUCACUGUCUCCCAGGCUGGAGUGCAGUGGUGCCAUCACAGCUCACCUCAGCCUUGACCUCCCAGGCUCAAGUGAUCCUCCCACCUUAGCCUCUCAAGUAGCUGGAAGUAUAGGCAUGUACCACCAUGCCCAGCUAAUUUUUUUUUAUUUUUCAUGGAGACAGGGUCUCACUAUAUUGCCCAAGCCAGUCUUGAAUUCCUGGGCUGAAGCGAUCCUCCUGCCUCAGCCUCCCAAAAUGUUGGGAUUAUAGUCAUGAGCUACCAUGCCCAGCCCUAACUCCAUUCUUAAUUGUCACUUAGCCUACACUUUCACUUCAUUGACAUUUAUAGGCUGACAACAAGCAGAUGAAGAUACCAUUGAAACAGUGCCACCACUCACCCAACUGUCCUGUCAGUCAGGAAAAGCACAUCCCCACUGGGUCUCAGAGCUCUCGGCCCGUUGUCUUUGCACUGUGUGACCACACACAAAACCAGGUAAAGUAUUUACCUGCUUUGUUCAGGAGGCUGUCCUUGGCUCUCUAGUUUCUGAUAGGACCCCAUUUUAAACUCUCAAGCCCCCUUGUCCUUGUUCUUUGAUAGUGUCAUAGCCUCUAAACAUAUCACAAUUAUUAAUAUAAUUAAAUACUUAUUUCCCUAUAGAUUUGUUUAAAGCCUGCCUUCCCCCAAGAGAUGGUCAGGUCUGAAGGCAGGUUUGUUACAGAUGACAGGCUCUUGGGCUCAUCAUGUAAUAAAAGUUAACAUGGGGACAAGCAGAUUUCCAGAAAAGGCUUUUAUCUUGGGGCUUGUGCUCGAGUGCAGGGGAGACACCAGAGGUACAAGGACCCUCAAGCUGACUCCCUGAAAAGGUGGUAGGGAUUUUUUUUAUUAGGCAAACACAGGAAUUGGUAUCAUGGGUAGGGUAUGCAGGCUGGCCUGGGCAAAGCACGUGACGGGUAGGGGAUGCUGGUUAGCGUAUCUAGUUGUGAUGGUUAUCUUGAGUAAUGGGCCACCUGGGGGUCUGGCCAGCUGUAACAAGGCUGCAAAUCAAUUGUUCAGGGUUCCUUCCCUUCCCAUGAUGGGACAUUCUGAAACCUCGGUUUGAUGUUUAGAUUUCCUAAGGCCAGUUCCUGGAAUUCUUUUAAGUAAAAGGCAUGAUUAAACAUUAUGAGAGCACAGAAGAAUGGCUAUUUUCUUUGUAAGCCUGAAGCCUUAUCUAAAACCAAUUGUCAGCAAGGCAGGGGUGUGGGUCUUGUGAUCAGUGAGACAAGAAGAAAAAAAAAAACGUGAAAAAGGAACUGAGUUCCUUUUCUAUUCUAUCUGAGGUUACUCCCCACUGCACCCCCGGCACCUGACAUUGUGAGAGGCAUUUGAACCAGAGUGACUCCAUCUUGAAUAGGGGCUGGGUAAAAUGAAUCUGAGACCUACUGGGCUGCAUUCCCAGGAGGUUAGGCAUUCUUAGUCACAGGAUGAGAUAGGAGGUUGGCAGGACUGGUAUCACAAGAUACAGGUCAUAAAAACUCUGACCAUAAAACAAGAUGUGGUAUAGAAGCCAGCCAAAACCAAGAUGGUGAGAAAAGUGACCUCUAGUCAUCCUCACUGCUCAUUAUACUCAAAUUAUAAUGCAUUAGCAUGCUUAAAGAAAUUUCCACUAGCACCAUGACAGCUUACAAAUGCCAUGGCAGUGUUCAGAAGUUACCCUAUAUAGUCUAAAAAGGGGAGGAACCCUCAGUUCCAGGAAUUCCCCACCCCUUUCCCAGAAAACUCAUGAAUGAUCUACCCUUUAUUUAGCAUAUGAUCAAGAAAUAACCAUAAGUAUACCCAGUCAGCAGCGCGUGCCGCUGCUGUGUCUAUGGAGUAGCCAUUCUUUUGUCUCUUUUACUUCUCUAAUAAACUUUAUUCUAUGAAUUUGCCCCCAAAUUCUUUCUUGCGCAAGAUCCAAGAACCCUCUUUUGGGGUCUGGACUGGGACCCCUAUCACCAUGCCUGGCUCAAGAAACAUUUGUUGAGUAAUGAUUUAUAGUGACUUUCUAUGUGCUCAUGUCUCACUCUUGUUCCAGUACCUGUAUGCUAAGCAGCCAUGCUACUGUCCUUCUGUGCUUCCCUACAUUCCAAGUUCAAGGGGACAGGAUGGUUUAUUGUUUCUUAAGUGCUUGUCUUUCUGGUCCUGUUUACAUGCAUCAUUAGCCCACAGGAAAGCACUCUGUUACAAAUGACUUUAGAAAUCACAAUCAUUAAAAUUGAAAACUUCCAUUUAAGCCAGACUACCCCUUUGUGAUGUUAAAAGUGUUGCCUCUGAGCUUCCAACCCCCUCUCUAUGAGGCCUAUUCCAGCUUUUAACCUACCGUGGGUGCGGGCUUUUCAUUUGGAGCCUCUUGUGAUCUUCAAGCUGUAAUUUUCGCAAGCAGGGCCCUAAAGCUCUUUAAUUUUUUUGUUUACCAGAAUUACUCAUUUCAUUUUUGUAUGUGCUUGGUAGAUGAAUUUUCUGUGGCAUCUUACAAAAUAAGGCCAUAAUACCUUAUGGCAUUAAAAAAAAGUUGGGGGGGGAGCAAAACCACCACAAAAAAAUUAACUGAACAAUUAAAAUAUUUAAAUUAGUAUUAGAAAGCUUAAAUGUAGGCAACAACUAAGUCAUCUCAAGCACAUUCAACAGGAAAAAGUAGAAAACAUACUAGAUAAGAACGUCAGAGAAUGGGGCAAGGACUGGGGGAGGUGAAGGAGGUGCAGAGCUGGAUCCUGUCUUUAUUUGAAAAUUUGAUUUUGUGUUCAAAUGUGAAUUAUUUCAUUUUGAUUUUUUUUUUUUUUUUUUUUGAGACGGAGUCUUGCUCUUGUCGCUCAGGCUGGAGUGCAAUGGUGCAAUCUCAGCUCACUGCAACCUCCGCCUCCCGGGCUCAAGCAAUUCUCCUGCUUCAUCCUCCCAAGUAGCUGGGAUUACAGGCACGGGCCACCAUGCC